This is a long non-coding RNA of Drosophila obscura, 1416 nucleotides long. RefSeq lists it as uncharacterized. NCBI's taxonomy places the organism in Eukaryota, Metazoa, Arthropoda, Insecta, Diptera, Drosophilidae. The record is from RefSeq and is a predicted model, not a curated record. The transcript has 4 exons.
CUGAAGCUACAUCUAUAUUGGGAUUAGCGUAGAUAAAAUUCUAGAACAAAGAAUAGUUCGGUCUUGGCCUCGGGUGAACGGAGUGUGUAGGAGGUCCCCCGCCACCUACACACGCUCGUACAUAUAUAUGUACGUAUAUAAGAGUACUUAUGUACAUACGCUCAUAGUACAUGCAUAUGUAUGCAUACAUAUGAAUAUAAUACUCUAUUUGUACCACCAAACAAUAGAGUACUGGAGAGUGGAGUUCAAGGCUGAAAUUUUAUCUUGUCUUGGCAGUACCUUCAGGAAAACCUAAACACAUACAUUUUUUAUGGUUAUGCAAAUAUUAAUAUAUUUAUACGAGCGGGGGGCUCUGGCACCCACCGAACGUGGAAUAGAAAGAAAGAGCGAGCACGUGGGAGAUAUGAUCAUUCCUAUUAUGCUGCGUCUUCAGAUAAAAGAAAUCUUCCAAAUUGUGGAUGACACAAGUUUUCGCGAUUUAAACACCAAACUCGGUUGCUCCAGCUUUUAAAGUCUCUAAGGACUAGACGAUAAACAAGACGGUCGGACGGACAGACGUGGCUAUAUUACCUCGAUUUUUGAUGCUGAUCAAGAAUAUAUACAUAUGUAUUUAUAUACAUGAAUUUAAUAUACUGUGCAGUCUGUAAUAUACAUACUGUGUAUAGUAAUACGUAUAAUAAAGCAACCGAAUGUGAUGUGGCGCUCACUUGUGGGAUUAAGUCAUCAGAUUGCCAUGUCUUGUCUUCUUCUUGUCUUUCGACCAAAAUUUAGUUAUUUAAAUUAUGGUUUUCACAAGUUUAAGACCCUUCUGCAGCAGCGGCAAAAAUUGUAAACAUACAUAAAUAUGUAGUUACAUCAAGAUGAACCGCACAACAUGGCUAGUUUCAAUGAUUGAACUCAUCGUUUGAUCACAACUAAUAUUGUCUUUAUAAGCAUUUACAUCAUAUAUACAUAUUUACAGAAUAGACAUCGGAUAAAUAGACGUCAUAUACAGACAUAUAAACAUGUAUAUUUUUUAAAUUUAAAAUAUGUUACACCAUUGAUGCUGUGGAAUCAAUAUUAUGCAUUCUUCUGUACUCUUGGAGAUGUUCAUUCAGCGCCGUUUUUCGUCUAUGGCGAACAAAGCCUUGUUUUUUUUCGACUUAAAAGCUAUGGUCUGGUGUAGAAAAGAUGAGCUCGUAUGGCUAGACAAAAUAUUAUAUUGGAACCUAAAAACGAAAACUACCAACGCCCACGACCGUUUCCAGCUGCGCCACCACCACCGCGUCCUCUGUUAAAUCCUCCGUUUCCACGCCCGGCUCCUCUAAAACCACUGCCUCCAAAGCUGUUACGUGCACCCCGUCCACCUAAUUUGAAUAUAUAUAAAUGUAUUAGAUUAUUACAAUAUAAAUGAAAGAAAAUAUAUUUGAUUUAAAA